UACGAAGGGGGCUAGCGUUGCUCGGAAUCACUGGGCGUAAAGGGUGCGUAGGCGGGUCUUUAAGUCAGGGGUGAAAUCCUGGAGCUCAACUCCAGAACUGCCUUUGAUACUGAGGAUCUUGAGUACGGGAGAGGUGAGUGGAACUGCGAGUGUAGAGGUGAAAUUCGUAGAUAUUCGCAAGAACACCAGUGGCGAAGGCGGCUCACUGGCCCGAUACUGACGCUGAUGCACGAAAGCGUGGGGAGCAAACAGG
RNAcentral lists this ribosomal RNA (253 nucleotides) under uncultured bacterium. RNAcentral's name for it is "partial 16S ribosomal RNA". It matches the Rfam family "Bacterial small subunit ribosomal RNA", at positions 524 to 776 of the family's 1533-position model. The record is from RNAcentral.